Molecule: ribosomal RNA, 1435 nt
Filed under: uncultured organism
Description: SSU rRNA
Rfam family: Bacterial small subunit ribosomal RNA
Source: RNAcentral
AUGAACGCUAGCUACAGGCUUAACACAUGCAAGUCGAGGGGCAGCAUGGUCUUAGCUUGCUAAGGCCGAUGGCGACCGGCGCACGGGUGAGUAACACGUAUCCAACCUGCCGUCUACUCUUGGACAGCCUUCUGAAAGGAAGAUUAAUACAAGAUGGCAUCAUGAGUCCGCAUGUUCACAUGAUUAAAGGUAUUCCGGUAGACGAUGGGGAUGCGUUCCAUUAGAUAGUAGGCGGGGUAACGGCCCACCUAGUCUUCGAUGGAUAGGGGUUCUGAGAGGAAGGUCCCCCACAUUGGAACUGAGACACGGUCCAAACUCCUACGGGAGGCAGCAGUGAGGAAUAUUGGUCAAUGGGCGAGAGCCUGAACCAGCCAAGUAGCGUGAAGGAUGACUGCCCUAUGGGUUGUAAACUUCUUUUAUAAAGGAAUAAAGUCGGGUAUGGAUACCCGUUUGCAUGUACUUUAUGAAUAAGGAUCGGCUAACUCCGUGCCAGCAGCCGCGGUAAUACGGAGGAUCCGAGCGUUAUCCGGAUUUAUUGGGUUUAAAGGGAGCGUAGAUGGAUGUUUAAGUCAGUUGUGAAAGUUUGCGGCUCAACCGUAAAAUUGCAGUUGAUACUGGAUAUCUUGAGUGCAGUGAGGGCAGGCGGAAUUCGUGGUGUAGCGGUGAAAUGCUUAGAUAACACGAAGAACUCCGAUUGCGAAGGCAGCCUGCUAAGCUGCAACUGACAUUGAGGCUCGAAAGUGUGGGUAUCAAACAGGAUUAGAUACCCUGGUAGUCCACACGGUAAACGAUGAAUACUCGCUGUUUGCGAUAUACUGCAAGCGGCCAAGCGAAAGCGUUAAGUAUUCCACCUGGGGAGUACGCCGGCAACGGUGAAACUCAAAGGAAUUGACGGGGGCCCGCACAAGCGGAGGAACAUGUGGUUUAAUUCGAUGAUACGCGAGGAACCUUACCCGGGCUUAAAUUGCAGAUGAAUUACGGUGAAAGCCGUAAGCCGCAAGGCAUCUGUGAAGGUGCUGCAUGGUUGUCGUCAGCUCGUGCCGUGAGGUGUCGGCUUAAGUGCCAUAACGAGCGCAACCCUUGUUGUCAGUUACUAACAGGUUCCGCUGAGGACUCUGACAAGACUGCCAUCGUAAGAUGUGAGGAAGGUGGGGAUGACGUCAAAUCAGCACGGCCCUUACGUCCGGGGCUACACACGUGUUACAAUGGGGGGUACAGAGGGCCGCUACCACGCGAGUGGAUGCCAAUCCCCAAAACCUCUCUCAGUUCGGACUGGAGUCUGCAACCCGACUCCACGAAGCUGGAUUCGCUAGUAAUCGCGCAUCAGCCACGGCGCGGUGAAUACGUUCCCGGGCCUUGUACACACCGCCCGUCAAGCCAUGGGAGCCGGGGGUACCUGAAGUGCGUAACCGCGAGGAGCGCCCUAGGGUAAAAC